RNAcentral lists this ribosomal RNA (409 nucleotides) under uncultured Sphingobacteriales bacterium. Its description in RNAcentral is "bacterial SSU rRNA". It matches the Rfam family "Bacterial small subunit ribosomal RNA", at positions 969 to 1382 of the family's 1533-position model. The record is from RNAcentral. Lineage: Bacteria; Pseudomonadati; Bacteroidota; Sphingobacteriia; Sphingobacteriales.
CCUUACCUGGGCUCAAAUGUAUGUUGACGUAUUCUGAAAGGGAUACUUCUUCGGACAAUAUCAAGGUGCUGCAUGGUUGUCGUCAGCUCGUGCCGUGAGGUGUCGGGUUAAGUCCCAUAACGAGCGCAACCCCUAUCAUUAGUUGCCAUCAGGUCAAGCUGGGGACUCUAAUGAAACUGCCUACGCAAGUAGUGAGGAAGGUGGGGAUGACGUCAAAUCAGCACGGCCCUUACGUCCAGGGCUACACACGUGCUACAAUGGCCGGUACAAAGGGCAGCUACCUGGUGACAGGAUGCUAAUCUCAAAAGCCGGUCUCAGUUCGGAUCGGAGUCUGCAACCCGACUCCGUGAAGUCGGAAUCGCUAGUAAUCGUGAAUCAGAAUGUCACGGUGAAUACGUUCCCGGGCCUU